AAUAUCUUCUAAUAAUUUUUAAAUAAUUUUCGAAUCUAAAUAAAUUAUACCAAGCUGAAAAUAUGAAAUUCUAAGCGUCUAGAAAACAUCGGAAAGCCGGUGCAGUUAAAAGUGUUGGAACUCAAGUGAGGUGAGGCUUGCCGAAAAUUACAGCCCAAAACUUGCCGAAAAGUGCUAGAUCGAUGCUAGAAUGACGCUGCUCCGGUGAGGCUUCACCAAGGCUGCCAAUAAGGAUAAUGGGCAGAGGAGGGGCUAAUCUUGGCUUUUGGAGGGUAGGAACUCAAAUCCAGCAUUGGAUUUGCAAAGGGACGGUGGUAGAGGAUAGUUCUUGCAAUGGCAGCGGAGAUUGACGCCUCCUCCUCCUGUUGUAGCAUGUUUUGGCAAUGAGGAAGGGGGAAUGGGAGCGCCGGCUGGAAGGAGAGGAAGGGAAGGGGGAGAGCUGGUAGCUGUGGUGGUUAUGGUGGUGAAGGGAAGAAAUUUAUUGUACGGGAGUGUGUGCAGUGGAGGAAGGAGAAGAAAGGGGGACAUGCAUAUGUCCCAACUUCUUUCUUUCUUUUUUUUUGUAAAUUUCUUU
This 574-nucleotide long non-coding RNA is filed under the name Ricinus communis (castor bean). RNAcentral describes it as "long non-coding RNA (RCOM_LNC001376)". Lineage: Eukaryota; Viridiplantae; Streptophyta; Magnoliopsida; Malpighiales; Euphorbiaceae. The record is from RNAcentral.